CAGCCGCCGCGGUAAUACAGAGGGUGCAAGCGUUAAUCGGAAUUACUGGGCGUAAAGCGCGCGUAGGUGGUUUGUUAAGUCGGAUGUGAAAUCCCUGAGCUUAACUUAGGAAUUGCAUUCGAUACUGGGAAGCUAGAGUAUGGGAGAGGAUGGUAGAAUUCCAGGUGUAGCGGUGAAAUGCGUAGAGAUCUGGAGGAAUACCGAUGGCGAAGGCAGCCAUCUGGCCUAAUACUGACGCUGAGGUACGAAAGCAUGGGGAGCAAACAGGAUUAGAUACCCCUGUAUCCCUGUCUCUUAUACA
This 301-nucleotide ribosomal RNA is filed under the name uncultured bacterium. Its description in RNAcentral is "partial 16S ribosomal RNA". It matches the Rfam family "Bacterial small subunit ribosomal RNA", at positions 509 to 809 of the family's 1533-position model. The record is from RNAcentral.